RNAcentral lists this long non-coding RNA (262 nucleotides) under Mytilus galloprovincialis (Mediterranean mussel). The record is from RNAcentral. Lineage: Eukaryota; Metazoa; Mollusca; Bivalvia; Mytilida; Mytilidae.
AAUAUAUCAGUUUUACAAAAUUGUUAUAAUGUAAACUUUUAGCUAUUUAUUGGAAAGUAGAAUACUUCUGCUACAUAAAUAUGGUCUGUUUUUGACAAAUAAUAAUGCACAUAUAUCGGGUACUAGCAUCAUUAAGUCAUGCUAAAUUACUGAAAUCUUCACAAUUUUAGCAUUUGAGUUAAAUUUUAGACGGUUUUCGUCUUAAAUGGAAGUGGCCGCAUUCGUGUUCAUUCUUAAUAUUUAAAUGUAAGUUGUAUUUGAU